This 2905-nucleotide ribosomal RNA is filed under the name Escherichia coli. RNAcentral's name for it is "23S ribosomal RNA". It matches the Rfam family "Bacterial large subunit ribosomal RNA". The record is from RNAcentral. Lineage: Bacteria; Pseudomonadati; Pseudomonadota; Gammaproteobacteria; Enterobacterales; Enterobacteriaceae.
GGUUAAGCGACUAAGCGUACACGGUGGAUGCCCUGGCAGUCAGAGGCGAUGAAGGACGUGCUAAUCUGCGAUAAGCGUCGGUAAGGUGAUAUGAACCGUUAUAACCGGCGAUUUCCGAAUGGGGAAACCCAGUGUGAUUCGUCACACUAUCAUUAACUGAAUCCAUAGGUUAAUGAGGCGAACCGGGGGAACUGAAACAUCUAAGUACCCCGAGGAAAAGAAAUCAACCGAGAUUCCCCCAGUAGCGGCGAGCGAACGGGGAGCAGCCCAGAGCCUGAAUCAGUGUGUGUGUUAGUGGAAGCGUCUGGAAAGGCGCGCGAUACAGGGUGACAGCCCCGUACACAAAAAUGCACAUGCUGUGAGCUCGAUGAGUAGGGCGGGACACGUGGUAUCCUGUCUGAAUAUGGGGGGACCAUCCUCCAAGGCUAAAUACUCCUGACUGACCGAUAGUGAACCAGUACCGUGAGGGAAAGGCGAAAAGAACCCCGGCGAGGGGAGUGAAAAAGAACCUGAAACCGUGUACGUACAAGCAGUGGGAGCACAGAGCAAUCUGUGUGACUGCGUACCUUUUGUAUAAUGGGUCAGCGACUUAUAUUCUGUAGCAAGGUUAACCGAAUAGGGGAGCCGAAGGGAAACCGAGUCUUAACUGGGCGUUAAGUUGCAGGGUAUAGACCCGAAACCCGGUGAUCUAGCCAUGGGCAGGUUGAAGGUUGGGUAACACUAACUGGAGGACCGAACCGACUAAUGUUGAAAAAUUAGCGGAUGACUUGUGGCUGGGGGUGAAAGGCCAAUCAAACCGGGAGAUAGCUGGUUCUCCCCGAAAGCUAUUUAGGUAGCGCCUCGUGAAUUCAUCUCCGGGGGUAGAGCACUGUUUCGGCAAGGGGGUCAUCCCGACUUACCAACCCGAUGCAAACUGCGAAUACCGGAGAAUGUUAUCACGGGAGACACACGGCGGGUGCUAACGUCCGUCGUGAAGAGGGAAACAACCCAGACCGCCAGCUAAGGUCCCAAAGUCAUGGUUAAGUGGGAAACGAUGUGGGAAGGCCCAGACAGCCAGGAUGUUGGCUUAGAAGCAGCCAUCAUUUAAAGAAAGCGUAAUAGCUCACUGGUCGAGUCGGCCUGCGCGGAAGAUGUAACGGGGCUAAACCAUGCACCGAAGCUGCGGCAGCGACACUGUGUGUUGUUGGGUAGGGGAGCGUUCUGUAAGCCUGCGAAGGUGUGCUGUGAGGCAUGCUGGAGGUAUCAGAAGUGCGAAUGCUGACAUAAGUAACGAUAAAGCGGGUGAAAAGCCCGCUCGCCGGAAGACCAAGGGUUCCUGUCCAACGUUAAUCGGGGCAGGGUGAGUCGACCCCUAAGGCGAGGCCGAAAGGCGUAGUCGAUGGGAAACAGGUUAAUAUUCCUGUACUUGGUGUUACUGCGAAGGGGGGACGGAGAAGGCUAUGUUGGCCGGGCGACGGUUGUCCCGGUUUAAGCGUGUAGGCUGGUUUUCCAGGCAAAUCCGGAAAAUCAAGGCUGAGGCGUGAUGACGAGGCACUACGGUGCUGAAGCAACAAAUGCCCUGCUUCCAGGAAAAGCCUCUAAGCAUCAGGUAACAUCAAAUCGUACCCCAAACCGACACAGGUGGUCAGGUAGAGAAUACCAAGGCGCUUGAGAGAACUCGGGUGAAGGAACUAGGCAAAAUGGUGCCGUAACUUCGGGAGAAGGCACGCUGAUAUGUAGGUGAAGUCCCUCGCGGAUGGAGCUGAAAUCAGUCGAAGAUACCAGCUGGCUGCAACUGUUUAUUAAAAACACAGCACUGUGCAAACACGAAAGUGGACGUAUACGGUGUGACGCCUGCCCGGUGCCGGAAGGUUAAUUGAUGGGGUUAGCGCAAGCGAAGCUCUUGAUCGAAGCCCCGGUAAACGGCGGCCGUAACUAUAACGGUCCUAAGGUAGCGAAAUUCCUUGUCGGGUAAGUUCCGACCUGCACGAAUGGCGUAAUGAUGGCCAGGCUGUCUCCACCCGAGACUCAGUGAAAUUGAACUCGCUGUGAAGAUGCAGUGUACCCGCGGCAAGACGGAAAGACCCCGUGAACCUUUACUAUAGCUUGACACUGAACAUUGAGCCUUGAUGUGUAGGAUAGGUGGGAGGCUUUGAAGUGUGGACGCCAGUCUGCAUGGAGCCGACCUUGAAAUACCACCCUUUAAUGUUUGAUGUUCUAACGUGGACCCGUGAUCCGGGUUGCGGACAGUGUCUGGUGGGUAGUUUGACUGGGGCGGUCUCCUCCUAAAGAGUAACGGAGGAGCACGAAGGUUGGCUAAUCCUGGUCGGACAUCAGGAGGUUAGUGCAAUGGCAUAAGCCAGCUUGACUGCGAGCGUGACGGCGCGAGCAGGUGCGAAAGCAGGUCAUAGUGAUCCGGUGGUUCUGAAUGGAAGGGCCAUCGCUCAACGGAUAAAAGGUACUCCGGGGAUAACAGGCUGAUACCGCCCAAGAGUUCAUAUCGACGGCGGUGUUUGGCACCUCGAUGUCGGCUCAUCACAUCCUGGGGCUGAAGUAGGUCCCAAGGGUAUGGCUGUUCGCCAUUUAAAGUGGUACGCGAGCUGGGUUUAGAACGUCGUGAGACAGUUCGGUCCCUAUCUGCCGUGGGCGCUGGAGAACUGAGGGGGGCUGCUCCUAGUACGAGAGGACCGGAGUGGACGCAUCACUGGUGUUCGGGUUGUCAUGCCAAUGGCACUGCCCGGUAGCUAAAUGCGGAAGAGAUAAGUGCUGAAAGCAUCUAAGCACGAAACUUGCCCCGAGAUGAGUUCUCCCUGACCCUUUAAGGGUCCUGAAGGAACGUUGAAGACGACGACGUUGAUAGGCCGGGUGUGUAAGCGCAGCGAUGCGUUGAGCUAACCGGUACUAAUGAACCGUGAGGCUUAACCUU